Molecule: ribosomal RNA, 484 nt
Filed under: uncultured bacterium
Lineage: Bacteria
Description: partial 16S ribosomal RNA
Rfam family: Bacterial small subunit ribosomal RNA
Source: RNAcentral
GACGAAUGCUGGCGGCGUGCUUAACACAUGCAAGUCGAACGAUGAAGCUAGAGCUUGCUCUGGUGGAUUAGUGGCGACCGGGUGAGUAACACGUGAGUAACCUGCCCCGAACUCUGGGAUAACUGCUGGAAACGGUAGCUAAUACCGGAUAUGACCAAUGAAGGCAUCUUCUGUUGGUGGAAAGAAUUUCGGUUCGGGAUGGACUCGCGGCCUAUCAGCUUGUUGGUGAGGUAACGGCUCACCAAGGCGACGACGGGUAGCCGGCCUGAGAGGGUGAUCGGCCACACUGGGACUGAGACACGGCCCAGACUCCUACGGGAGGCAGCAGUGGGGAAUAUUGCACAAUGGGCGCAAGCCUGAUGCAGCAACGCCGCGUGAGGGACGACGGCCUUCGGGUUGUAAACCUCUUUUAGUAGGGAAGAAGCGAAAGUGACGGUACCUGCAGAAAAAGCACCGGCUAACUACGUGCCAGCCGCCGCCGUAA